GAUGAAGAACGCAGCGAAAUGCGAUAAGUAGUGUGAAUUGCAGAAUCCAGUGAAUCAUCGAAUCUUUGAACGCACAUUGCGCCCGCCAGCAUUCUGGCGGGCAUGCCUGUUCGAGCGUCAUUUCAACCCUCGACCUCCCCUUGGGGAGGUCGGCGUUGGGGACCGGCAGCACACCGCCGGCCCUGAAAUGGAGUGGCGGCCCGUCCGCGGCGACCUCUGCGCAGUAAUACAGCUCGCACCGGGACCCCGACGCGGCCACGCCGUAAAACACCCAACUUCUGAACGUUGACCUCGAAUCAGGUAGGACUACCCGCUGAACUUAAGCAUAUCAAUAAGCGGAGGA
This 343-nucleotide unclassified non-coding RNA is filed under the name soil metagenome. RNAcentral's name for it is "partial contains 5.8S ribosomal RNA, internal transcribed spacer 2, and large subunit ribosomal RNA". The stretch from base 1 to 120 matches the Rfam family "5.8S ribosomal RNA", at positions 35 to 154 of the family's 154-position model. The record is from RNAcentral.